This 497-nucleotide ribosomal RNA is filed under the name uncultured bacterium. Its description in RNAcentral is "partial 16S ribosomal RNA". It matches the Rfam family "Bacterial small subunit ribosomal RNA", at positions 28 to 507 of the family's 1533-position model. The record is from RNAcentral.
GACGAACGCUGGCGGCGUGCCUAAUACAUGCAAGUUGAGCGCUGAAGGUUGGUACUUGUACCAACUGGAUGAGCAGCGAACGGGUGAGUAACGCGUGGGGAAUCUGCCUUUGAGCGGGGGACAACAUUUGGAAACGAAUGCUAAUACCGCAUAAAAACUUUAAACACAAGUUUUAAGUUUGAAAGGUGCAAUUGCAUCACUCAAAGAUGAUCCCGCGUUGUAUUAGCUAGUUGGUGAGGUAAAGGCUCACCAAGGCGAUGAUACAUAGCCGACCUGAGAGGGUGAUCGGCCACAUUGGGACUGGGACACGGCCCAAACUCCUACGGGAGGCAGCAGUAGGGAAUCUUCGGCCAUGGACGAAAGUCUGACCGAGCAACGCCGCGUGAGUGAAGAAGGUUUUCGGAUCGUAAAACUCUGUUGGUAGGGAAGAACGUUGGUGAGAGUGGAAAGCUCAUCAAGUGACGGUAACUACCCAGAAAGGGACGGCUAACUACGUG